Ictidomys tridecemlineatus (thirteen-lined ground squirrel) is the source of this 2593-nucleotide non-coding RNA. Lineage: Eukaryota; Metazoa; Chordata; Mammalia; Rodentia; Sciuridae. The record is from RefSeq and is a predicted model, not a curated record.
CACAGGAACGGGAUGAACUCCAGAAAAGUCCUGGUCACGUGGUCUUUCUACCAGCUCUCCGACUGGCCUGUGCUUCCACCACAAAUGAGCCAGGGCUAAUUUGGCAGCACACAUUCCAGCUGAUUCCACCCCCUUCCUGGUGAUUGCCCCAUUUCUUGGUGGGUCAAAUGGAAACUUGGAGAUUGUUUCUUUGCAAAUAUGGAAGAUUCCCCAAACUCACCCAGCCAUCAGUGCCGAAAGAGCACAGCUCACCGCCGACACCUGCGGGCGGGGGCGCCUCGCCCCUCAUCACGUGGGGGACUGCCUUGCCUCCGUCCUUCCUGCGGCAGUGAAGCCUUGCAGGGGUGGGGGGAGCAGGGUGUUGAUUCUAGAACUUGAGAGCCCUUGCUGCACACCAGUGGUGGGCCACAUGCCCAGCUCCAGGCGGCCCACUGCAGCCCAUCAGGGGUGAAUUCCAAAGGAAAAAAAAAUCAGACAAGCUAAACAGAGGGUCAGAUAAAUGAGCUACAGGACAUCUGUUACAGAACAUCACACAGCUUCCAAAGGUACAUCAGGUGAAAAAUAGAAGUAUAUGGUUGUGUUUUGUUUUAUUGGGUUUUUUUCAUAAAUUAUAAAUAAAUAAUUAAAAGCAGGUAACUAGCAGCAGCUGGGAUAAAGUCCCAUGUUCUUUUGGGGGUCCAUUAGGAGACAGAAAAAAAUCAGCAGGGACUUUCAUCUGCAGGGUGAACUCCCCCGCCACCUCCUCCUUCUGCUGUUUCUCAUUCUUCUUCCCAAUAUCUGCUGCUUGCCCACCACCCAUGUCGUCUCUGCAAAAAGAAGCUAUGGAAAAGGACUUUUCAAGGACACUCCCUCUGUUCCUGGUCGGGGCCUGUGCACAACUCCACCAUUUUGCUGUUAGGUGCAGCAGGUGAGUCCGGGGCCGGCAGGACACAGAACCAAGACGCGGAGCCGUCUCCUGCUGCAGUCUGUGAGAACUCCUGUCCAGCCCAGGGCGCUCAACCAGAGUGACCCAGUGAAGGGACUGGACGGGCUUCCCUUCAGCUCAUUUAUCAAACAGCAGCACAGUCACGUUGGAAUUCUACCUUCCUACGCCUUUCCUCCCCUCUCCUCUCCAGAGCAGGCUCUCUUGGCACCACGAGCAGAGAUGUUUGGACACUGGGUCUUUCCCAGGUGAACAGCAAGAGCAGGCAGCGACAUGUGUGGCGGGGGACGUGGCUCCCAGGCUGAGGGCACUGCACCCCAGUGCCCAGCUGAUUGGAGUAUCCUUUAGAAUUACAGAAAGGCAGAGCUAUUCUGGAACCUCCGUGAUGAGAGGGAAAGUUCUAAGAACUGGUAGGAAGAGGAUCCAGUUACAGCAAGCUCAGGAGCAGCUUCCCACCACUCAGGGGCCAGUCCAGCUCUGGGGGAGUCCAGGCAUCCCCACACAGGCUUCUCACCACUCCCAAGAUGGUCUCAACCCUUGGCCACCCCCCUCCUCUCUCCAGAGAGCUGCUCUCAAAGGCCUGAACUGAGAAGGGAAGCAAGAGAGGUGGGUGCAGGUGCAUAAGGUGGUCACUGUCUUCCACAUCUUUCCAGCACCCUCUCCCCAACACCACCACCCAGAAUGAGCUCAGGCCUGCAGCUGUGACUCCUCCCACCCCAGCAGUUGGGCUCCCCUGCGGAUCCCUCCUUAGGGAUCCAGGGAGGCCCCAGCACUGGUAUUGACUUGAAUUUCCCCAGGUGAUGCUAAUGUGCAGCAGAGUUCAGAGGAAGCCUCAGGUGCUCUAAAUGGUGUGCCUCUGAGGGGAGGGGAGGCUGCUGCUCCUCCAGAGACCACCAAUGCAAGUGCUAAGGCUGUCUGCAGCCUGGGGCGACCGGGGGGCGUCAGCCAGGCCCCAUGGUGUGUCCUGAGUUGUUCACAGAUCAUCCUGGCUACUGAGGAUUCCCGGCCCCUCCUCCACCAUCACCACCAACCUUUUUCUUUCAAAAGAGCCUGCUCAAAGCCUCUGAGAGUGCUUCAAAGGGGCCCUCUCCACAGCCAGCACAUGACGCUGGGACGGAAUUCAAAAGGUCCUGGGAAGAGGCAAAACCACGAUUUGAAGGGGAAUUUCUCAUGAGGUGGAAUCUUAGUGCAUGUGGUGAGCUCUUCUGAUGUCAACUCUUCAAAAGAGUAAAGUGCUCCUUCUCCCCCUGGCAGAGUGAGAUGAGCUGCCAGAAACCCAGAGAGGGGAGAAAAAACACUCUUUGUGAUGGAGAAACUGAUAAAUUACCGGAUAGAAUGGGUCCAAUUCUACUGCCCUUAGAUCAGGAAAAUAGAAAUCCUAAUGCUAUUAAUGGAACAGUGGCCAGGAGAAGUAAUGCAGAAUAUGUGGGGAGAGGGGAGGGAUAUUCACAUGAAUCACAUCCUUUCUCUUAAAAGCUUUGAAGAUGGAUUUCCCCUCACGGAGGUGGGGUGGGAGGUUAAAGAGAUAGCAACUGCAUAGUUAGAAGAAAAAGCUUCCCAUUAGCACUGCUUAUAAAUUUUAACGCUUCGAAGGAGGACAAAUUAAGGUUAUCCAAAAAAUAACGAUAACUACCACUAUUUCCAGGGCACAUUUUUUUUUUUUUACUCAAA